Molecule: long non-coding RNA, 435 nt
Organism: Galeopterus variegatus (Sunda flying lemur)
Lineage: Eukaryota; Metazoa; Chordata; Mammalia; Dermoptera; Cynocephalidae
Exons: 2
Source: RefSeq, a predicted model, not a curated record
GGAGUCUGUCUGGUGGUUCUGCCAUCUCCUAGGGCCUCAGGUCCUCCACCGGGUCCCUGCAUCUGACUCCUGGUGGGGGAACAGAUAGUGGUGAACGACCCUGUGAGAGGUUGUAGGGAAGUCGGGCCCAUUACAGCGACUCACAUUCAGAAUCAGCCCAUGUCUCACUGCAAGGGGCCAGGAGAAGUAGUUCCACCACGUGCCCAGGAAGAAGAGGAGCUCAGGUUUUGAAAGAAUCAAUGCUCUUAAAGAAAUUGAGACCACUGGAUGACCCAGCUCCACCUGCCACUGGUACUAAGGAACCUGGUCACCUAAGAUCUUACCUGGAAUUGGAGAAAACACAGACCUUCCCUUAAUUUCCCCAAGACUUGGAGAGAUUUUUCUCUCCUGUCUUAUUGCUUUGGACAAUUCAAAUAAACCUUUCUCUAUCUCUAA